UACGAGGGGUCCUAGCGUUGUUCGGAAUCAUUGGGCGUAAAGGGUGUGUAGGCUGCCAUACAAGUCAGUUGUGAAAUCCCUCGGCUCAACCGAGGAACUGCAUCCGAUACUGGCGGGCUUGAAUCCGGGAGAGGGAUGUGGAAUUCCAGGUGUAGCGGUGAAAUGCGUAGAUAUCUGGAGGAACACCGGUGGCGAAGGCGGCAUCCUGGACCGGUAUUGACGCUGAGGCGCGAAAGCUAGGGGAGCAAACGGG
This 253-nucleotide ribosomal RNA is filed under the name uncultured bacterium. RNAcentral's name for it is "partial 16S ribosomal RNA". It matches the Rfam family "Bacterial small subunit ribosomal RNA", at positions 524 to 776 of the family's 1533-position model. The record is from RNAcentral.